Molecule: long non-coding RNA, 1992 nt
Organism: Populus nigra (black poplar)
Lineage: Eukaryota; Viridiplantae; Streptophyta; Magnoliopsida; Malpighiales; Salicaceae
Exons: 2
Source: RefSeq, a predicted model, not a curated record
AUACUUGUCAUUUUCUUAGCAAGACAAGGUGUAUUGUGGUAAUUUUGCCCUAGUUCCAUGCAUGUUGGCCUUCUAUUUGUAGCUACAAGCCUGGAUUCUGAAUGGUCAUGUACCAACUCUUGAAAGCUCCACGGUUGAUAAGAAAGAGAGAAAGCUGGGAGAGAGAAUUCGAGCCUUCAAUCUCUCUUUUUAAUGUUUCUUGCUCAAAUGAGUAUUCCAACAGCAGUAGCCUUAUGCAACAAGAGCAUAUAUUUUUUACUUGUAUCACUGUAAUAUGAUGUUGCUGGAAUGCUACUGUUUCUGAGAUGCUCAUUUGAGCAAGUAAUAUUAGAAGAUGAUAUUUUUGCACCAGGGCUUGCUUCGAAAAGGAUCGAGUGCAGCAUGCUUGUUCUUAGUUUAUCAGAUAAGUUAGUGUAAUUUUCUUUCUUAGCCAUACAUGUCAUGGUUUUCUGAUUUUUCCUCACACGAGGCCUAGCAAUAAAUCAGGUUUAGGGUUUCCUUUUCUUUUUGAAUUCUCUUUUGAUCUUUAGUUGUUAUAAAUAGUACUGGUUUUCUCGAGACAGGUAAUCCUUCUGGUUCUCUCCCCACUUUUCAUGCCCUUCUUCUUUAAUUCCUCCUCUUCCUCUUUCUUCUUCCCUUGGUCUUGUUCAAUUUUAUGUCUUUUAUCUUAUCAGUCCAUCUACAAAGCCUUUUCCUAUGAUGAUCACAGGUUCUGUUCUUUGCCUGAUGUCUUGAAUUGAAGCUAAUUGUGCUUUGCAUAUAUGGAAGUCCUUCUGCUUCUGAUCACACAGGUUGCCCAAAUCUCUUAGAAUCUCUGUGGCCAGCACUGUCUUUACUGCUUAUCGAUAUUUGAUUCAUGACUGAUUCACAUGAGUCUUUCUCCUUGUGGGGACUGACAGGCAGGCUGCAGUUUUGUUAUGAUACUUUUGUCACCAUGAGAUCCCAUGCUUGUUUCAUCUCAAGUUCUAUUUUCUCCCUGGAUUCUCAAUAAAGUCCUUGGAUGUUUUGUUGCAUGGUUCUGUGAGAUUAAUUUUGCGUCCUAUAGCGGGACCUCUCUUCUGCUUAUAUAUGUAUGUCCCCUUGUCUGCUAUAGCAUGGAUUACUGUCCAUGCCUUAAAAUUUGUUCUAUGUGCUGUAAGCAUGGUUCUUUGUGAUUUUUUCCCUUGUAGUACUACUCUUCUGAUAAUACAAGUCUGUUAUUUCAUGGCCAGUGCCUGUGGCCUUGUUACUGAGGUCAUUGGUGCUUUAUAUUGGUCUGCAUGCUUAUUUCAGGUUGCUGUUCUGGGCUACUACCAAGGGCUACUACUGACAUGCUGAUGUGCUUGUCGCUAGCUGCUAUAAAAGCUGACGAAGCUUAAUGUCCCUUUUGUGAUAGCAAACUUGAGACUUCAGAUCACCUUCUUCUUCAUUGUCUAGAUGUGUGGAAAUUAUAGAACUGUUUCCUUUCUUGGUGGGGGUGUCUACAGUUGCUUUCCUAAAUCGAUAGAUCAUCAGAUUCUGCAGUGGCGUUCGUCGGUUAAUGGCAAGAUGCAAAAAAAAAAAAACUUGACAUAUUCUCUUUUAUGGGAUAGCGUGCAUGGGAUACAUGGUUGGCUCGGAAUAACCUAAUCUUCAAUUCAAAACAACCAAGCUGGGACACAGUUCUUGACUUGAUUAUUCACAGGUUGGCUAUGUGGUUGAAAUCAAGUGUCGGGAAUUUUAGUUGCACAGGCAAUGAUCUGGUGCAAAGUACAAAUACCCUUCUUCUUUGGAGUAAUUAGCUAGAUUUGUAUGGUUUGCAUUCUAAUCGGGGAAUUAUUGUCUUUCCUCUUUUUCUCUUUCGUUUCUUCGUUCUUGUUCUUGUUUCUAUUUUCUCCUGUCAUUCUUCAAAUGGCUAAGUUCAUUUUCAAUAUAUCGAGUAGUAUCCUAAGAAACAGAUGCUUACAGCUUUACUUAUGUUGUUGUUGCAGCUUCAAGCAAUCCAAGUCUACAAUACCAUUACCUUCCAUUCAA